This 94-nucleotide microRNA precursor is filed under the name Branchiostoma floridae (Florida lancelet). Its description in RNAcentral is "mir-2060 microRNA precursor family". It matches the Rfam family "mir-2060 microRNA precursor family". Lineage: Eukaryota; Metazoa; Chordata; Leptocardii; Amphioxiformes; Branchiostomatidae. The record is from Rfam by way of RNAcentral.
GUUUGCCUGUGUGCGGAAGGUGUUCAGUACAAAGGACAUGCCUGUUUACCCGUCUGUGGAAGGUGUUCAGUACAAAGGACAUGCCUGUUUGCCU